UUGGCUCCAGCAGACCCCUGUGUCAGGGUAUAGCAGGUUGGAUAAUGACUGACUGGCUGACUAAAUUAGCCAGGUGUGAGUAAGGUGCCCUGUAAUAGACUGCCAUUUGAUCCAUGAUGUAUUUCUGUCUUGCUGCUUGUGUAGCCUUUGGCUCUCAACAAUCUUGUAAUUGAGAAUGGAUAUGUUUUUUUAUUUCAUUUUUUAUUUUCAUCUUAUUGUAUCUUGCCCAUGUGGCCUAAUUGCUCUGAAGGGUCUUGCUGACUAUAAUGACCUCUCCUGCAUCUUGUAAUUAUCUUCAGUGAUUUGCUAAUUCAGUACACCGUUACUAAAGCAUUAGUCACCAUCUUGAAACUAAUUGCUGCACAGUUUUUCAUGGCUAGUGGGCCUUUAGUGCUCAGCUGUUACACUAUAUGGAGUGGCACUGGCCCAAUUUAAUUCGCUUAAAUAUCCAGUUCAUCUCUCCUGGCUUUAGGUGUCUUCUACUGGAUCACCACAGUUUCAUCACUGGUUUUCUUGGGCCUGCUGUGUAAAGAAGUUCACUCCACCAUGUCAUACUCUGGCCAUGUGACAUUCUCUGUUGCCUGGCAACAGAACCAUGAGAAAUGUUACCACUAGAGGACCUCAUUGAAUUCAUCAAGCUCAUUUAAGAAGGGAAAAAAAAAAACAGAAAAAAACCCUCAGCAUGCCAGCACAAGGUGAAGACCCUCAUGGACAUAAUCCAUAUAGAGAAAUGACAAGGGGAUCAAGAACACAAGGACUCAAAUAAUGGGAGCAAGAGGAUUGCUGGAUUAUGCAGCAUAGAAAGCUAUGUAGCCUUGUGAUCAAGUCUAUGGCCUGGAAAACUCCAAAUUGUUUAUUCAGUCCCUGCCUGUGACUCACAAUGUGGCACUGAGAAAUUAACUUCAUUUGAAAGUGGCUGCAAUGUAGGAGUAAAAAGAUAGCCAACUUUAUACAGUUGAGGAGAAGAAUCAAGAGAUGAUAUUUGAAAGAAGCAGAGCUGGGGCACAAAUCCCAGAGCAUUGGCCGCUAACAGAAUUGAUGCCUUGAGGAGAAUCCUGUGGAGUUUCUGGCCACAUUGAGCCUGGAGGGUCCGAGAGAGAGAAACAUUAAGUCAGGAUCUAUGGAUGGGUUAACCAGGAAGUGACGCACCACCACAUUGUCACAAUCUUCAGCUCUUUAAGAUUAUUAUGGUGUGUUAUGUUUUUUAUUCUUUAGUUGGAUUUUUUAAGUUUAAUUCUUUUUUAUACUUCACAUCUGCAUUGUUGCUUCCUGAACGACAUUAUCCAUGGCUAAUCUCUCGUGGUGGAGCCUAUGAGAGCCCAUCUCUGACAUUUUGGGUGUAAUGUUACAUACGAAUAAAGAGGUGCCCUUUUCUUUUCUGAGAGUCAUUCUUGUUUGUCACACAGACAGUGCACUCGGUCCCUCCAUAGUAGUGUACCUCCGACCAGUGAAAGGUGAAGCCUUCUAGUACUGGGCUCACUAUGGGGCAGUUGCCACUUUACUUCUGCUGUAGUGUAGACUGUGGAGCUCUUGUAAAUACUUUUCCAGGGGGAAAGAGAUGGUCACGGGUAGAAGUCCCACCAAAAUGAAAGAGAAGGAGGCAGUGGGAGAGAGAAAGAGUAACAUGGGGUAUCAAUUUUGAGAAUGUCAGCAUGCCAGUGGUGUGGUUGAGGUACACGAUGGACCAAAAUUUAAAUCUUUUAAGAGUUCAUAGAAUGUUUUGUGGCAACAUGUUCAGCAAAUGCCUGGGAACGAAGCAACCAACACACAUUAAGUAUAGCUAACCUGUUAAUUUUUAAAGCUACGGAGGACUGAAGGAGGCAAGUUCUAUUACUUCAGGCCACAUUUUGGAGGUAAAGAAAGGGAGAGCUCACCAAAACCAAAGGCCAUCUAUGACCCAGAAGUGUUGUUUCCCUAUUGUAAUUGUAAUAUUAGUGUUUGGCUUAUAUGUACCUUUUGUCUGUUGUGAUUUUUUCACACAUGAAGAAUCAAUUUCUGGCAUUAUUUUCACGUUUUGCAGGAGCUGAUCUUCAUUACCCUUU
This is a long non-coding RNA of Polypterus senegalus (gray bichir), 2042 nucleotides long. RefSeq lists it as uncharacterized. The transcript has 3 exons. The record is from RefSeq and is a predicted model, not a curated record. NCBI's taxonomy places the organism in Eukaryota, Metazoa, Chordata, Cladistia, Polypteriformes, Polypteridae.